UAGUUGCUGCAUAAAAUCUUGCCCUGAACUGAAUUAACAUCAGAUGAGGCCUGUUGCACUUUGCUGUUGAGGAUUAGAUGACUUACAACCCUAUUGUUACUAGAGUCCACCUCUCAUCUUUCAAGGGCAGAGCAGGAGCACAGAGCAAGAGAUUCAAGAAAGAAUGAGUGAAGAAUAAAGAAAAUAACAUCACCAGAGUAGCUGUCAUGAACUUAAGCAAGUGAUACUAAAGACGACUGACACCGUAUGGCAAUAGCUAUGCAUGUCCUUGCUCCUAGAAAACAGAGCCUUGGAUCCUGGUCCCUAUUCAGCCACCAGCUUGCCCAGUGACUAUGGAAACUAUGUCAAACCACCUGAGAUUUUAAGCCUGUGAAAAGAAGUGUUGGCUAUUCUGAAGACCCUAGUGAAACCACCGAUUCAAGCAAGGUUUCUCAAUGUACAAUAAUUCCUUUGGUCAGAUGUCGAGGAAUAGGCCGUUUGUGUGCUUCCAAUCCAUCACCCCCACAGAAGGCUCACAACAUACAGACAGAAAUCGACCUUUCCUCCUGAGAGACCCAAGGACACGCCCUUCACCAGGAAGUCAAAUUGAGUGUCAUUAACCAGGACACAACUGAUGGGUCUCUUGAUGCAAUACAAUGCAAAAUGCACAGCAUCAUCUGUGAGGUUUCUCCUUUUCUUCCCCAGUAGCCUUAUUGUGAUAUAGUUCACAAGUUACCCAUGUAAACCAUAUAAUUUCAUUUUUUUGUACUCACAGAGUUGUGUAAUCAAAAUCAGUCUAAUUUGGGACAUCUUCAUCACCCCACACCCAUUUGCAGUCACUCACUUGUCCUCUUCCUGCCUUCAGACUUAGGCAACCAAUAGUCCACUGUCUUUGCCUAUCGAUUUGCUUAUUGCUGACAUUUCAUAUAAAUGGAAUCAGACAACAUGUGGUCCUUUGUGGCGAGCUUCUUUCAUCUAUUAUAUUUCCAAAGUUCAUCCAUGUAUCAGCACUUCAUUCCCUUUUAAUAGUAUUCUGCUUAUGAGAUUAAAUAAAACUGUAAUUAUCCAUCAGUUAAUAGA
Non-coding RNA from Ictidomys tridecemlineatus (thirteen-lined ground squirrel), 1059 nucleotides. The record is from RefSeq and is a predicted model, not a curated record. Lineage: Eukaryota; Metazoa; Chordata; Mammalia; Rodentia; Sciuridae.